RNAcentral lists this ribosomal RNA (253 nucleotides) under uncultured archaeon. Its description in RNAcentral is "partial 16S ribosomal RNA". It matches the Rfam family "Archaeal small subunit ribosomal RNA", at positions 474 to 727 of the family's 1478-position model. The record is from RNAcentral.
AACCAGCACCUCAAGUGGUCAGGAUGAUUAUUGGGCCUAAAGCAUCCGUAGCCUGUUCUAUAAGUCUCCGGUUAAAUCCAUCAACUCAAGUGAUGGGCUGCCGGAGAUACUGCAGAACUAGGGAAUGGGAGAGGUAGACGGUACUCGGUAGGAAGGGGUAACAUCCUUUGAUCUAUUGAUGACCACCUGUGGCGAAGGCGGUCUACCAGAACACGUUCGACGGUGAGGGAUGAAAGCUGGGGGAGCAAACCGG